GCGAGAGUGGCGAAAUUGGUAGACGCGCCGGAUUUAGGUUCCGGUGGGGUAAUACCCGUGAGAGUUCAAGUCUCUCCUUUCGUACCA
RNAcentral lists this transfer RNA (87 nucleotides) under Crocinitomicaceae bacterium. RNAcentral's name for it is "tRNA-Leu". It matches the Rfam family "tRNA". From Rfam's summary of the family: Transfer RNA (tRNA) molecules are approximately 80 nucleotides in length. Their secondary structure includes four short double-helical elements and three loops (D, anti-codon, and T loops). Further hydrogen bonds mediate the characteristic L-shaped molecular structure. tRNAs have two regions of fundamental functional importance: the anti-codon, which is responsible for specific mRNA codon recognition, and the 3' end, to which the tRNAs corresponding amino acid is attached (by aminoacyl-tRNA synthetases). tRNAs cope with the degeneracy of the genetic code in two manners: having more than one tRNA (with a specific anti-codon) for a particular amino acid; and 'wobble' base-pairing, i.e. permitting non-standard base-pairing at the 3rd anti-codon position. The record is from RNAcentral. Lineage: Bacteria; Pseudomonadati; Bacteroidota; Flavobacteriia; Flavobacteriales; Crocinitomicaceae.